UACGAAGGGGGCGAGCGUUGUUCGGAAUCACUGGGCGUAAAGAGUGCGUAGGCGGUUAUGAAAGUUAGAAGUGAAAGCCCCAGGCUCAACUUGGGAAUUGCUUUUAAAACUACAUGACUUGAAUUCGGGAGAGGAUAGCGGAAUUGUCAGUGUAGCAGUGAAAUGCGUAGAUAUUGACAGGAACACCAGUGGCGUAAGCGGCUAUCUGGACCGACAUUGACGCUGAGGCACGAAAGCGUGGGGAUCAAACAGG
This 253-nucleotide ribosomal RNA is filed under the name uncultured prokaryote. RNAcentral describes it as "partial 16S ribosomal RNA". It matches the Rfam family "Bacterial small subunit ribosomal RNA", at positions 524 to 776 of the family's 1533-position model. The record is from RNAcentral.